This 46-nucleotide non-coding RNA is filed under the name Schistosoma bovis. Lineage: Eukaryota; Metazoa; Platyhelminthes; Trematoda; Strigeidida; Schistosomatidae. The record is from RNAcentral. RNAcentral also lists the same sequence under 2 other names.
GCACUGCUGAAGAGUCCCGCGCUGGGGCGAAACGGCCGUCCAGUGC